This 387-nucleotide long non-coding RNA is filed under the name Fukomys damarensis (Damara mole-rat). Its description in RNAcentral is "lncRNA (ENSFDAG00000026995.1)". Lineage: Eukaryota; Metazoa; Chordata; Mammalia; Rodentia; Bathyergidae. The record is from RNAcentral.
CUGGGAGGGAAUGGGUAGGGACAAAAGAUGUGGUAUAGGCUACUUUCGCAAAGAGUGAGCAAUAGGCCAAAGUCACUGGUUGCUUUCUGCCAGCCAGGUGGCUGAAAUGUCUGGCACAUGCAAAGAUCCUGAGGUGACUGAAGACCUUGCAGAUGUUGCAUGUUGUGAGACUGCAGGAGGUACAGAGGCGUGCACCACCACACCUAGCUUCCUGGAGCAUUUGGUCCAGAGAGCGACACAGUGACAGCCCAGCACACAGGCUGUCCCCUGCAGGCCAGCCCCGGAGGCAGCAUGGCUUUAUCACAGACCAUUUUUUCUCAAUGUGUAAAAUGAUUUCCAAACACACCAGAUCCUGAUGAUUUCAAAGGGAGUUUAACUACUUUCAGG